GCUAUCCAAAAGACUUAAUUUUCUUUUCCUCUGAUCUUGUAUACAAAAAGUCUAUCAUGAUAGUAUGUGUUGAGUAUAGAAUGCAACACUGUUUCCACGAGAAUAUCCCACCAUGGUCUCUUGGUCCAGAUGAUGGAUCUGUGAAAUAACAGACUGCAUGUUCUUCAUUUUGUUCCCUAUGAUAAUUAUGUUAAAUAAUAACAUAAACAUUUAUUUUUAUGUCUUAUAGCAUUGACUAGUUAAGCAGAAGGGUCCUUAUGAGAUAUUGAACAACUAAUUAUGUUAAAUAUAUAGCUAUGACAUACUUACUUGAUCUUUCCAGUUCACCUGUCUGCUUCUCCUCCAUUGUUGAUUCCACCUGGCAGUUCUUUAUACUGUAUCCUCGUAUGUGAUGGUGUCAGAAUUUGUGGACAAAGUUACUUUCAAUAUAUGCUCUCUCUAAGCUAAUAAGAUUUUGAUAUAAGCAUGAGCAAGGCUGACAGU
This 483-nucleotide long non-coding RNA is filed under the name Daucus carota (carrot). Its description in RNAcentral is "long non-coding RNA (DCAR_LNC005777)". The record is from RNAcentral. Lineage: Eukaryota; Viridiplantae; Streptophyta; Magnoliopsida; Apiales; Apiaceae.